CCUACGGGCGGCAGCAGUCAAGAAUCUUCCUCAAUGGACGAAAGUCUGAAGGAGCGACGCCGCGUGUAUGAAGAAGCCUUUCGGGGUGUAAAGUACUUUUAACUGUGACAAAACAAUGAUGGUAGCAGUUGAAUAAGGGGCUGCUAACCUCGUGCCAGCAGCAGCGGUAAUACGAGGGCCCCAAGCAUUAUCCGGAUUUAUUGGGCGUAAAGCGUCCGUAGGUGGUUUAUCGCAUCUCCUGUUAAAUCUCGAGGCUCAACCUCGAGUCCGCGGGAGAGAUGGACAAACUAGAGAUUGGAAGAGGCAAACGGAAUUGCUGGUGUAGGGGUUAAAUCCAUUAAUAUCAGCAAGAACACCAAAUGCGAAGGCAGUUUGCUAGGACAAAUCUGACACUCAGUGGACGAAAGCGUGGGGAGCGAAUGGGAUUAGAUACCCGUGUAGUC
RNAcentral lists this ribosomal RNA (443 nucleotides) under Escherichia coli. RNAcentral describes it as "bacterial SSU rRNA". It matches the Rfam family "Bacterial small subunit ribosomal RNA", at positions 338 to 795 of the family's 1533-position model. The record is from RNAcentral. Lineage: Bacteria; Pseudomonadati; Pseudomonadota; Gammaproteobacteria; Enterobacterales; Enterobacteriaceae.